Molecule: ribosomal RNA, 460 nt
Filed under: uncultured bacterium
Lineage: Bacteria
Description: partial 16S ribosomal RNA
Rfam family: Bacterial small subunit ribosomal RNA
Source: RNAcentral
CCUACGGGAGGCAGCAGUGAGGAAUAUUCGUCAAUGGGCGAGAGCCUGAACCAGCCAAGCCGCGUGAGGGAAGACGGCCCUAUGGGUUGUAAACUUCUUUUGUCGGGGAAUAAAACGCAGUAUGUAUCCUGAUCUGCGUUUAUCCUAUGAAAAAGCAUCGGCUAACUCCGUGCCAGCAGCCGCGGUAAUACGGAGGAUGCGAGCGUUAUCCGGAUUUGUUGGGUUUAAAGGGUGGCGAGGCGGGUUGUUAAGUCAGUUGUGAAAUUUCCGGGCUCAACCCGAGACGGGCGGUUGAUACUGGCAGACUUGAGUACGGGAGAGGUACGCGGAAUGCGAGGUGUAGCGGUGAAAUGCAUAGAUAUCGCGAAGAACUCCGAUUGCGAAGGCAGCCUUCUGGCCUGUAACUGACGCUGAGGCUCGAAAGCGUGGGGAUCGAACAGGAUUAGAUACCCUUGUAGUC